RNAcentral lists this ribosomal RNA (513 nucleotides) under fungal sp. RNAcentral describes it as "eukaryotic LSU rRNA". Lineage: Eukaryota; Fungi. The record is from RNAcentral.
UGCACUGCCUACAGUUGCUUCGGCGUCUUGUUGAGGGCACCUCUUGUGUUGGGAGGCGCGCCCGCCGUUGGGCCUAACGCUUGUUUUGUUUCUUCUUUACUUUUUAUCAUUUUGAAUUUUCUUCAAACUUUUCUUGCUUCUGGCUUGGAUCUCGAAUCGAUGAAACGCAUAAAUGUGAAUUGCAUAUGAAUUGCAAAUUUUCAAUGAAUGAACGCUCUUGCGCCGCAUUGAUUCCCUCUGGUAUGCAUGUGGGAUGCCUGUUGACCCUCAUUUCCCUCUCGACCCGGUGGGGAUCUUGCGUGAUACUCUAGGACGACUAGGCCCUUGCUUGAAAAGYAUAGCCAUGGUGGCCUCCUCUGCGAGCUGUGAACUUCUCAAUGUAUUAAGUUUAUCCCCUGCCGAAUGCCGUGGACUUACAUUGUGGACUUGUUAGCCGGCCUUACACCAACUAAACUUGUUUGACCUCAUAAUCCGGAAGAAUACCCGCUGAACUUAAGCAUAUCAAUAAGCGGA